This is a non-coding RNA of Pocillopora verrucosa, 2772 nucleotides long. The record is from RefSeq and is a predicted model, not a curated record. Lineage: Eukaryota; Metazoa; Cnidaria; Anthozoa; Scleractinia; Pocilloporidae.
UGGACGUGGCUAUAGAGUGUCUUUUUCAGGAAGUUCUGCAGAAACUAUCGAGAAGGCAAAGGCUUUCUAGAAGUGUAAAAACCCUCUUCCGGAACAGAAGUCUACAUUAGUCAUCAGUGGAAUAAACCACCGUCUAAAAACAGCACCUCAAGUUGGAGAAGGCAAGACAUUUGUUGGUAUCUAUCAGACACACACAACUUCCCUUGAAAUGAAAAAUGAUCCAAGACUUAAAACACAUUUGGAGGAUGCCCAGAAAAUGAAAGAACAGGAACAAGCUGACUAUGUGCAAAAAAUACAGAGAUGGUGGGAUAUACAUGUCAGAUGUAGUUUGUGAAUCAAAGAUGGGUGUCGAUGACACUCAAAUAUAAAGCAAACACUUGUCUAAAUUUUAGAGAAGAAGCUCAACAAACACUGGCCAAAAGAAAGGUUGAGAGAUUAAAGGUGAAGCGACCCUUUUGCUAUUGGAUGUGCAAAGCAAAUAGGAAUGAGUAAUGGGGGGAUUCAUCAUGCAAUGCAUGGUAUUAGCACAGCCUUAGGAGUCAGGGGAGAGCAUGCACGUUAAAUAUGAACCGUCAUAAACCCUUUACCCCCAAAGAGUGACCAGUGCAAAGGCUUCCUUAUUAAUUCUCAGAUUUCCAAGUACACUACAAUAAUACAAAUUAAACUUAGAAAUUCUCUGAGAGCCUUAGCAAACUUUGCCAAACAUGUACCUCCAAGAAAGUUACCCUCUCUUCAUUAUACACUUUGCAUUCAACAAUCUGUCUCAAAAAGAUAACUGACAUGUAACAUUAAUAUUCCAGAAGACACAAUAUAUUUCUAAUUGUCACUUGCAGCCAAAUUCUUCAUUAGCGCAUGCACCAACAUAGCAUCCUUGAAAAGUAAAGCUAAUUGCAGAAAUGACACAAUGGACACAACAAGUAGCAUCUAAUUUCUUCUUACAAUAUCACCCCUAAAUCACACAGCAAGGCUACAAGAAUAGGGGAAAAGAAGCUUUUGAUUGUUAAACAAAUUCUCCUUGACAGCACCUUAAGAAAUGUUUAGGGGACAGUAUGGAGAAUAUUCAUACUGAUGUUAGAGUGUAAUGAGUUUAAGAUGGAGGACUGAUUGUCAACCCUUUAACUCCCAAGAUCUUGCUAGUAAUUCUCCUUACUGUCUACUAUACAGUUCAUGUGAUGUUAGUUUGGAGAAUUUGGUAUUUGAUCAACUUAUAAUCUCCUAAUUGGUAUUUUUCUUUUUUCAUCUCUUGUCUGCUUGGUAUUGUAUUGAUAUUGGAAGGAGAAAUUCUGUCUUGGUCACUCACAGGAGUUAAGGAUUAAAUACGGCAGAUUACUAGGGAAGACUUUUGUGGGGAUCCCAGCUAAGUUUGUACCAGAUAUAUUGCAGAAUAGCUCAGUAAUCCGAAUUGCAACCUUUAGAGGUUGACCUGAUACAAAAAGAUAAUAUUCUGUAUAGUACUACCCAUGAAUUCACUUUAGGUUUACUUUAAUUUAAGGUACUACUGUUCUUGCUUAAGAUGAGUUUUCCUUUUCUUCGUCAAAGUAUUUUUUUAUGUAAUAUAGCAUCCUGACACAUUGUGGAUGAUACCCAAAACUUUUAACAAUUCUGCAAAAAUUGAGGUAAUCAUGGUCAUGAAGAAGUUUAAAUCAGCAAUCACUUACUUCAAUGUCAUGAUCUCUUCAUUCUCACCUGAACUCCCUUUAGUGAGAAGGCAAAUGAGGGGGGUGGGGUGGGUGCAAGAAAGAGUUGAGACCCAUUCUUAGUUGGAACCAGGCUAAAAUAUCCAAAUAUUUAUGAUCUUGAGCAUCAAUCAUGAUUCAAGAAAUUAAAGAAGGGAGCUGGUUGCAAUUCAAUGCUAUAUUACCUGAAAUACAGACCUUUGGCCCUCUCAUGAAAAUGAAAAGCUAUUUUUGAACCUUAAUUUAAACUUUUAGCCUUUAAUUGUGGAAGCAGAGGGUGCAGUGGUGAGAGUGCUUCCCUCCCACCCCUCCCACUACUGUGAACUGGGCUCAAAUCUUGGACUUGGCAUCACAUGUGGAUUUAGUUUGUAGUUGGUUCUUGUCCUUGCUCUAAGGGGUUUUCUCUGGGUCUUCCAGUUUUCCUCUCUCAGGGAAAUACCAGCAUUCUAAAUUCCAAUUCGACCUGACAAAAGUGGAUAGGAAGAGCCACCCCAUGGAUUGUCCAAUGCUAAAAUCCAGUUAUUUAUUUUUUUGUGUACCGCCAUCCAUGCAGGCUUUGCCAUGUUUAGGACCAGUCACUAUAUAUAUUACCAAGGGGAGGAUUUUUGUUGUAUCACACUGAAAUUAACCUUGUGCCCCCCCCAAAUCUUUGUAGUAUUUUAAUGAUCCCCCUCAUUGACAGUCAAUGUCUUAUAGCCCCCCCCCUUUGUACUCUGUCAGCAAUGACUGUUUCUCCCCCCCCUCUGUUCCCCUGAAAACCAUGCGAUCCCCCCUUCAUUCUUUCUUUCCCCCCCCCCCCAUGAUAAAUAAUGAUAGGUGCUUUGGUUUUAAUUUCCCCUGAGCAGAAAGAAGUAAUUUCACAUCGUCAGCCCAAAGAACAUGUCUUCAACAUCUUAGAGUCCAGUGAAGAAGAUGAAGAAGCCUUCGAAGCCAUGGCAGAAAUUGAUAAGUUUGAGGAAAGUCUUAAACAGAAGGAAAUUAUAAAACCAGAGUAGAAACUAACUUUCUGAAAGUUAUCCUUAUUUCUUGUAAAGAAAAAAAUCUUGCCACUGUACAUAACUGUAAGAAAUGUAAAUAAAGUGUUAUUUCCAUUGUA